CAGCAACCAGAGGAAACAGGUCCAAUGCUUGGGGGACUUAUCCCUACUUCAAAUGAGUCAAAAUAGGACACUUUUUGAUUCCCGUGGAAGACAAAGUAAGAGGCAAUGAUUGACUCGCUCAAGGAUUUUUCAUCUUACAUCAUGCAGGACCUGUGAAAACUCCAUCAUGGCAGACUGGGAACCGUGGCCUGUGGAUAGACAACCCGCCUCCCCAAGAUGCACCCAAAUUCCCGGCCCUGCCCUCCUCUACCGACCCCGCUUCCCGUCCAGGCCUGCCUGGAAUUGCCAAUGCAGAACCCCUUUGGCUUCUCCCACAGACCCUGCUGUUCUUGGCCGACGACACAUUUGUUCUCUCUCUUCCAUUUUGCCGGAAAGGCUCACGCCACCUUGCUCGGCUGGGCUACUCUCUCUCACCUCCGAGGCCCAGCCCAAGCAUGAGCUCACCCAGGAAGCCCUUGGCUGUUGAAGCCUCCCCACAGCCUCCACACACACGUACACUCUGCGCUCCAUAGCACCCGGCAAAUCUCUUUUUAGCUCUUCCUGUAUUGUGCUGACCCAAGUCCUUAAUUUACAGCCCAGAUUGCCUCCCCCUGUCCCCAUGGUAGGGUCUGCAAGGUCCCCCCAGUCAUCUAGACUUUAGAAGUACUUCUGCAGAGAUGGAAGUUACCCACCCCCCCAGCUCUCCUGAUUCCUGACCCUUGCCACGCCCCCUUUGUCUAUUGCAGCCCACCCCAACCCCCUUAAGGUUUCUGAGCCUACCUGGGGGCUGCAGGACCCACACUCAGUCUGCAUCCUGCUUCCCUGCUGCCCCUUGGGUCCUCACAGCAGCUUUUCCGUCUCCUGCCCGCAAGUAACAGCAGAAUACCAGACUUACCGAAGGUUUGAGGGAGAGAAGGAUUAGUCUGCAGUCAAGCAUCGUACAGGCAGCAGCUUAAAAGUAUGUAUGAAAUAGCAGUGUUCCUUAAUUCUACCAACCGUUCUCUGGCUUCAGCUAUGGCCCCCAGAGAGCGCCCUUAGAUGUCUGCCCGGGGUGAGGCUCGUCUCAUCCCGAAGCCCAACAACACAUGCGUAUUUUCUUUUCACUCACCAGUCCCCAUUCCUGCCAUUUCCCUGUGUUUCGGUCUGCAGUCCCUCCCCUCACUAAGAUCUGGGUUUGUCUUCGGGUGUCCAACACUCACGAAUGAAUAGAAGAGUGUGUCCCCCAUGGCAGCAUACUCCAGCAGCAGGAGCUCUGAAGCCAGUUUCCCGCAUCCUUAGGCAGCUGGGGUCGGCUGGAUUUGGUUUAUUUGUUUGGGAUGAAGCAUUCAGUAAAUGUUUGCUGAACGAAUGAGAGAGCUCAUGAGAGGAACUAACUGAGCUUAACAAAUAGUGAGAAAGCAGGAAAUAUUUGUUGAAGAAUAGAACGAAUCAGUGGCUUGGUGUCUGGGCUCAGUGAGAAGGCUCUAAGCCGCUUCCCAGGACAAAGGUUUCACCUCUCUGGAGAUUAUAGUUACCCCUCUCUGCCAGGUACAGCGGCACUAGGUAGAGAUGUUCUGAUAAUUCUAAGUGGGUGGUCUUUAAGCCUGGUUUGGAGAGUGGGUGGUUUGUUUUAACAACUUAAUCUAAUUUUUCUCUUCUAACAAAACUUUACAAGAAAUGCCAACACACAACAGGAUCAAAAAGAAGUGUUAAUGAAUUCAGCUUCUAGGGUCAUUUGCUGGAAUUCUGACUCCUUCAGUUACCAGUAUGUGAGAUUGCCCAAACUAUCCAGCUAAGCCUCAAUUUUCGCAUCUUCAAAAUGGGCAUAAUAAUGGAACACACAUGACAGGGCAGUUGCAUGAGCUAAUGAAUAUAACAAGGCACCUGCUGUGUGCUCAAAGGUUAGCAUUUAUUAUAUGAGCAUCUGAUGGUGGAAGAGAGGAUAAACCAGCUCCCAACCAUGGUUCAGGCGUUUCCACUGGAACCAUGUUUUAAAACUCCAGAUCUUACUAGUUACACUGUUCUGAUUUUGUUGCAGGAAGGGGGACCCCUUCCAGGGCCCGAGAGUGGGCUCUUGUCUAACA
Long non-coding RNA from Physeter macrocephalus (sperm whale), 2042 nucleotides. RefSeq lists it as uncharacterized. The transcript is spliced from 4 exons. The record is from RefSeq and is a predicted model, not a curated record. Lineage: Eukaryota; Metazoa; Chordata; Mammalia; Artiodactyla; Physeteridae.